CACGUAGUUAGCCGUCCCUUUCUGGUAAGAUACCGUCACAGUGUGAACUUUCCACUCUCACACUCGUUCUCCUCUUACAACAGAGCUUUACGAUCCGAAAACCUUCUUCACUCACGCGGCGUUGCUCGGUCAGACUUCCGUCCAUUGCCGAAGAUUCCCUACUGCUGCCUCCCGUAGGAGUCUGGGCCGUGUCUCAGUCCCAGUGUGGCCGAUCACCCUCUCAGGUCGGCUAUGUAUCGUCGCCUUGGUGAGCCGUUACCCCACCAACUAGCUAAUACAACGCAGGUCCAUCUGGUAGUGAUGCAAUUGCACCUUUUAAGCAAAUGUCAUGCAACAUCUACUCUUAUGCGGUAUUAGCUAUCGUUUCCAAUAGUUAUCCCCCGCUACCAGGCAGGUUACCUACGCGUUACUCACCCGUUCGCAACUCAUCCAGAAGAGCAAGCUCCUCCUUCAGCGUUCUACUUGCAUGUAUUAGGCACGCCGCCAGCGUUCGUCCC
This 497-nucleotide ribosomal RNA is filed under the name uncultured Streptococcus sp. RNAcentral describes it as "partial 16S ribosomal RNA". Lineage: Bacteria; Bacillati; Bacillota; Bacilli; Lactobacillales; Streptococcaceae. The record is from RNAcentral.